This 494-nucleotide ribosomal RNA is filed under the name uncultured bacterium. Its description in RNAcentral is "partial 16S ribosomal RNA". It matches the Rfam family "Bacterial small subunit ribosomal RNA", at positions 28 to 507 of the family's 1533-position model. The record is from RNAcentral.
GACGAACGCUGGCGGCGUGCUUAACACAUGCAAGUCGAACGGAAAGGCCUGCUUUCCCUUGUGGAUUGCGGGUACUCGAGUGGCGAACGGGUGAGUAACACGUGAGUGAUCUGCCCCCAACUUGGGUAUAAGCCUGGGAAACUGGGUCUAAUUCCCGAUAGGACUGCAGGGUGGUGCCUGUGGUGGAAAACGAUUUUCUAGUGGUUGGGGAUGAGCUCGCGGCCUAUCAGCUUGUUGGUGGGGUAAUGGCCUACCAAGGCGGCGACGGGUAGCCGGCCUGGGAGGGUGGACGGCCACAUUGGGACUGAGAUACGGCCCAGACUCCUACGGGAGGCAGCAGUGGGGAAGAUGGCACAAUGGGCGGAAGCCUGAUGCAGCGACGCCGCGUGGGGGAUGACGGCCUUCGGGUUGUAAACUCCUUUCGACCGCGAGGAAGCCACCUGGUUGGAAGGGUGGUGACGGUAGUGGUAGAAGAAGCACCGGCUAACUACGUG